GAAAAAAGAAGAGCAAUUCCAAGGAGUGAAAUGGUCCAAAGGUCUAAAAGGAUCUAUGAGCAGCUUCCAGAGGUGAAGAAGAAGAGGGAGGAGGAGAAGAGAAGGCUGGAAUACAACUCGUACCGCCUGAAAGCACAGCUCUAUAAAACAAAAAUCACCAACCACGUCUUAGGGAAGAAGGUGCCUUGGGACUGAUGGGAAUGACCCCUUCAAACCACCCUGGGACGUUCCAGCCCUGGAG
This is a long non-coding RNA of Empidonax traillii (willow flycatcher), 241 nucleotides long. RefSeq lists it as uncharacterized. The transcript has 3 exons. The record is from RefSeq and is a predicted model, not a curated record. NCBI's taxonomy places the organism in Eukaryota, Metazoa, Chordata, Aves, Passeriformes, Tyrannidae.